UACGAAGGGGGCUAGCGUUGCUCGGAAUUACUGGGCGUAAAGGGCGCGUAGGCGGCACUGUUAGUCAGGCGUGAAAGUCCUGGGCUCAACCUGGGAACUGCGCUUGAUACGGCAGAGCUAGAGGAUGGAAGAGGGUCGCGGAAUUCCCAGUGUAGAGGUGAAAUUCGUAGAGAUCGGGAGGAACACCGGUGGCGAAGGCGGGUCUCUGGGCAAUUCCUGACGCUGAGGCGCGAAAGCGUGGGGAGCAAACGGG
RNAcentral lists this ribosomal RNA (253 nucleotides) under uncultured bacterium. Its description in RNAcentral is "partial 16S ribosomal RNA". It matches the Rfam family "Bacterial small subunit ribosomal RNA", at positions 524 to 776 of the family's 1533-position model. The record is from RNAcentral.